This 499-nucleotide ribosomal RNA is filed under the name uncultured Alphaproteobacteria bacterium. RNAcentral describes it as "bacterial SSU rRNA". It matches the Rfam family "Bacterial small subunit ribosomal RNA", at positions 991 to 1501 of the family's 1533-position model. Lineage: Bacteria; Pseudomonadati; Pseudomonadota; Alphaproteobacteria. The record is from RNAcentral.
UCGCGAACCUAAGAGAUUGGGUUCUUCAUUUAGUUGGACAGAACACAGGUGCUGCAUGGCUGUCGUCAGCUCGUGUCGUGAGAUGUUGGGUUAAGUCCCGCAACGAGCGCAACCCUUACUUUUAGUUGCCACCAUUUAGUUGAGCACUCUAAAAGAACUGCCAGUGAUAAGCUGGAGGAAGGCGGGGAUGACGUCAAGUCCUCAUGGCCCUUAUGUGUUGGGCUACACACGUGCUACAAUGGCACUUACAAUGAGAAGCGAAGAGGCGACUCCAAGCCAAACUCAAAAAUGUGCCUCAGUUCGGAUUGUACUCUGCAACUCGAGUACAUGAAGCUGGAAUUGCUAGUAAUCGCGGAUCAGCGCGCCGCGGUGAAUACGUUCCCGGGUCUUGUACACACCGCCCGUCACACCAUGGAAGUUGGUUACACCUGAAGGCAAGACGUAAAACUUUUGACUACGGUACGAUCAGCGACUGGGGUGAAGUCGUAACAAGGUAACC